RNAcentral lists this long non-coding RNA (286 nucleotides) under Elaeis guineensis (African oil palm). Its description in RNAcentral is "long non-coding RNA (EGUI_LNC062713)". Lineage: Eukaryota; Viridiplantae; Streptophyta; Magnoliopsida; Arecales; Arecaceae. The record is from RNAcentral.
ACUAAAUUAACUCGAUGAAAGAGAACAUCUUAUAAAAGUCUUACUUGCAUAUCAAAGAUGGUUCUCUAAGUGAGAGUUGUGCAAGUAAUCCUUAGACAUGAGAUCAUCAUAAAAUCUUGUGCACAUGAAUCCAUAUUUUGGUUCAUACUCUAGCAUGGCAUUAAGACAUGUACGGGUGUUCUAGAUAUGGAGUGUGUAUGAAGGUUGUGAAUAUAUCAAUAUAGAAUCAAUCACUCCUAGUAAGAGGAGAUUGCAUCCUGUGUAUUCUCAUUCCUAGAUGACCCAA